ACCUGUAAGCUGGAACUUCCUUACGGCAGCCUGUCACUUCCACGGGACCCACCAGCUUAAAUGCCGGCAGCCCUGGGACUUCUGGCCUCACAAUGGUUGAGGAGAAGGGCAUGCUCAGGCCAGCCCAUUAGCCCAGGAGGAGGACAAGAAACACACGGAGCAGACACAAGCCACCUCACCAACCCAGCCAAGGCUGUCCUGAAUUAGCAACCCUGACACGUGUGAGCAAGUCCAACGGACACCGGAAGAUCCACCUAGUCAAGCCCAACCAAGACUGGCAGAGCUGCCAAGCUGACCACUUAAGGCGCAUGAGGAAUAAACACUCGUUGCUGCAUGC
Long non-coding RNA from Homo sapiens (human), 337 nucleotides. NCBI's taxonomy places the organism in Eukaryota, Metazoa, Chordata, Mammalia, Primates, Hominidae. The record is from Ensembl.